GACGAACCGUGCGAACGUUGUUCGGAAUCACUGGGCGUAAAGCGCACGUAGGCGGUUUCUUAAGUCAGGGGUGAAAUCCUGGAGCUCAACUCCAGAACUGCCUUUGAUACUGGGAGACUUGGAGUCCGGGAGAGGUGAGUGGAACUGCGAGUGUAGAGGUGAAAUUCGUAGAUAUUCGCAAGAACACCAGUGGCGAAGGCGGCUCACUGGCCCGGUACUGACGCUGAGGUGCGAAAGCGUGGGGAGCAAACAGG
Molecule: ribosomal RNA, 254 nt
Filed under: uncultured bacterium
Lineage: Bacteria
Description: partial 16S ribosomal RNA
Rfam family: Bacterial small subunit ribosomal RNA
Source: RNAcentral